ACACUCCUACGGGAGGCAGCAGUGGGGAAUUUUGGACAAUGGGGGCAACCCUGAUCCAGCAAUGCCGCGUGAGUGAAGAAGGCCUUCGGGUUGUAAAGCUCUUUUGUCAGGGAAGAAACGGUAGUAGCGAAUAACUAUUACUAAUGACGGUACCUGAAGAAUAAGCACCGGCUAACUACGUGCCAGCAGCCGCGGUAAUACGUAGGGUGCAAGCGUUAAUCGGAAUUACUGGGCGUAAAGCGUGCGCAGGCGGUUGUGUAAGUCAGAUGUGAAAUCCCCGGGCUCAACCUGGGAAUUGCAUUUGAGACUGCACGGCUAGAGUGUGUCAGAGGGGGGUAGAAUUCCACGUGUAGCAGUGAAAUGCGUAGAUAUGUGGAGGAAUACCGAUGGCGAAGGCAGCCCCCUGGGAUAACACUGACGCUCAUGCACGAAAGCGUGGGGAGCAAACAGGAUUAGAAACCCCGGUAGUCCCAUG
This 475-nucleotide ribosomal RNA is filed under the name uncultured organism. Its description in RNAcentral is "partial 16S ribosomal RNA". It matches the Rfam family "Bacterial small subunit ribosomal RNA", at positions 333 to 799 of the family's 1533-position model. The record is from RNAcentral.